Molecule: ribosomal RNA, 460 nt
Filed under: uncultured bacterium
Lineage: Bacteria
Description: partial 16S ribosomal RNA
Rfam family: Bacterial small subunit ribosomal RNA
Source: RNAcentral
CCUACGGGAGGCAGCAGUGAGGAAUAUUGGUCAAUGGACGCAAGUCUGAACCAGCCAUGUCGCGUGCAGGAUGACGGCUCUAUGAGUCGUAAACCUCUUUUGUACGAGGGUAAACUUCGAGACGCGUACCGGUUUGCAUGUACCUUAUGAAUAAGGAUCGGCUAACUCCGUGCCAGCAGCCGCGGUAAUACGGAGGAUCCGAGCGUUAUCCGGAUUUAUUGGGUUUAAAGGGUGCGUAGGCGGUUUGUUAAGUUAGCGGUGAAAUGUCGGGGCUCAACCAUGAAACUGCCGUUGAUACUGGUGGGCUAGAGAAUGUUUGAGGUAGGCGGAAUGUGUGGUGUAGCGGUGAAAUGCAUAGAGAUCACGCAGAACCCCGAUUGCGAAGGCAGCUUGCCAAGCUAUGACUGACGUUGAGGCACGAAAGCGUGGGUAGCGAACAGGAUUAGAUACCCGAGUAGUC